This is an RNA transcript of Myzus persicae (green peach aphid), 3457 nucleotides long. RefSeq lists it as uncharacterized. NCBI's taxonomy places the organism in Eukaryota, Metazoa, Arthropoda, Insecta, Hemiptera, Aphididae. The record is from RefSeq and is a predicted model, not a curated record. The transcript is spliced from 7 exons.
CGUCGCGAUAAACCGCCGCCGCGUCGUCCUGGCGUAGUAUACCGUGCGGUCGGCUCGCGGCGGUCGCGGUUAUGUGUUAUAAUAAUAGUUUAAUACCCGGGUAUACAAUUCAACGCUCUUCGGCGGAUGUACAGGACUCAUCGGCGUCCUAAUCGCGCCCGCGGAGUCCGUCGACCGCGUCGGACUCGCGACCAACCACGGUUAUAGAUUUCGUAGUUAUUGUUAUACCUCACCGGUGUUGUGGUAUCAUAUACGCUUGCAGUCCGGUGUACCUACGAGUGUGUGCAAUUCGUUCAGUGAAAAGUGAAAACGACCGGGAAAAUAAUGAAUCGAAUCGCUCCGAAGAAUACCAUAUAAACGUCAUACAGUCCGGACAUGAAAAGGGAGACUGAGUUCGGUCAUGACGAUGCGGUGGUCAUGGGGUGUGCAGUUCGAGACGAGAUAACACGCACGUCACUGAAGCUCGUCGUCCCAAAUAUUGUUGAUUGACGAAAUCGAAUUUUAUUAGCUGAGUGGAGUAGUAAAGAGAGACCGCGCAGAUGUUAUAUGUUACGUUAUAUAACUUCACUCGUCCAAACUUUUAAAUGCUUAUUAAUAAAAAAUUAUUCUGCUUCCGUUCACGAAAUAAAAAACAGCUGCCAAUCAAAAGUUGAUAAUGGGUUCACCGACAGAUGACAUAAGGUACCUGGUACACUUUGAAAACGAAGCCCUUUACAAAUACAGGUCACGUCCGAAAUUCUCUAUUGAAACUAUUGGACUAAGGAGCUUGCCUACUACCUAUACAUAUACAGGUAUAAACUAUCAAGUAUUGGAAACUGCCAUAUUGAACAUCCCAAUCAUUUUGUUCUUACUUAAAACUAUUCAGUGAUAACUGGCAAAUAAAACGAAUCCAAAGAUGAGUUUGCAUUCCACACUAGCCAUUUCCAAAUACUGAUCAUCAUCCUCAAGACCGCUGACCAGAACUGUGUGCAUAUCUUCAGGCACAUCCCCUUAUAAUUUAUAAAAAAAAGUAGUGGCAAAUGUGUGAUUCUUAAGGGGAUUGAUGGAUGGGUAACUGAUGCUCCUCUUCUCUUCAACUAAUUAAAUGUUGAAGUUUCUCCCUGUUUCACACGUUCCUUAGUUCUUUUUAAUGUAGGUACCCACCCGUUCAUAUUACUUAUUACGGUUGGAACCACCCUAUCCAAAUAAUGAUAGUUAGCUUUAUUAAUAAUAAGCGACCACCCCACUAAUUUUGUUUGUUUUUUUUUUAUGUUUAUGUUUACUGUAUAUUUAUAUUUUCAUUAAUUUAUUUAAACUUUGUCGCUGUUGUUUGUUAUAAAUGUCAUUCAUUUAUGAGUUGUGUAUUAUUAAUUUAUUAAAUACCUACUUUUUUUAUUAAUAUUAUAAGAUCUUGAACCAUAUAAUAUGGAGAUUUUUGAUCGUUAAAUAAAAAUUAAUAAUAAUAAUAUUGUACACUAUUAACAAAUACAAGUUUGAUUAAAUUUUCGAAAACAUAUUUUGUACGUUAUAGUACGAACGAUAGUAGCAAUUAAUAAUUGUUAUAAAGUUGCAGUGUUAAAUAAUUAUUAUGAUUGUCGUGGGGGAAAGACAAACGUGUUAUUACCAUUGCGCUUGUACCUACAAAUUUACGUAGGUACUUAUAUAAAUAAAGACAAACGGCAACACGUCCGAGAGAUAAACAUUAAACAUAAUAGAACGUGUGCAGCUUCAUGGUUUUCGGCGGAAAACGCGUGAUAAUUGCGUGUAAACAACCAUAAACCGACUUUAACUUUUCCCGGGAAAUUAACCGACAAGGAUCAAUUAUUGGGGUAAAGCGGCACGCCGCCGCGGAAGCAGCCACCGCCACCGCCGCCGGUCUCAUUAUUGCAGCCUCCUACAACUACUACUUCUCGCCGAGAUGAUUAAAACGGGAAGAAGGGUAAAGUUUUUAACGAAAGACGAUUAAUGCCACGAGUUCUCCGGCGUGCGUUGAAAUUGCAUAAUAUUAUAUACAUUGUACUAUAUUAAAACGAUCGUUUCGUCGGACUAUACAUAAAACUAUACGAGCUCCGUUAAUCUUUCACCGAUAAUAUCUUAAUAUUGAAAUAUUUACGGUCCCGUCACCCGAUUUCUUAUUUGAUAAUAUUAUUAUAACAUAAUAACGACAUUAUCGCCACCGCGUAAGCCCCAGUUUUCGGGAUGCGAUAAAUUUCAGCGCACGCCAGAUUUAAAAAAAAAACCGUGUUCUCACAGCCCUCCGGUUCACUUUAAAACGUGUAUAAUAUGAGAUGCUGACCCGGGGGAAGGAAAAGAGGGAUAACGUCGAACGCCGAAAACUGGUAAGAGGGUGGAAGCGGAAAGGCACCGCCGCUGUUACGAUUUACACGGCGUCGCGUAGGCCAAUUUGUCAUCAUUGCUCGCGGGGUUAAAAAAAAAAAAUCCUCGGGGAUUGAAGCAUGACGAAACGCCGAGCUCCGUUGUCCUUUUUAUACGUAUUUUUCUCUCUCCCCCCCGAUACGCACAUAAUAUAGCGCUGCACCCUCGCCGCCCCGCGACGUUAUAUUAAAACUCCGAAACGUUUAAGUCGGCAUCGCGUAUUUAUUACCGUUUGAUUCGCGACGCCUGUUGUAUGUGUAUAUGACAUAAUAUAUACGUGUGUAUAUUGUUCGUUACGGUGUGUCAUGUCGCAUUCAAUUCUCUCGACGAGGUGCCAUUUGAUCUUCUUAAUAUACGCGCCAUCGGCCAAACGGGCUGUAAUAAAGCGGAUCGUUGGAACGGGUGUCACCUACACACUCUCUUGUACCCGUAUUGCCUAUAUGAUACGCCGGUUUACUGAACGAUAUUAUUAUUGCAACGCUAUUAUAUGGGUUUUUUCCUCACUACGAGUCUCCGUCUCACCUCAGUACAGUCCUUAUCCGAAAACCAUUGUAAUAGACACAAACAAAGUACGAAGUCAAAAAUAAACGACAGCAGCAAAUACGAUCUACAGGACUUACAAGUUGAAACGAUAUUAUUGAAUACAUCAACUAUAACGUUGACGUACUCUAAAAUGUACUAUGCAACAUACAAGUAAUUUCAGCUUCCACCGUGAUGUACAAUAAACCUCGAUUUCGGACUAAAAAUCGUUUUUACAUUAACUAUGGUAAAUUUUGCUGUGUACUGGUGAUUCAAUUUUUUGUUGUAAAAAUUAACUGGAAUUAAAAAAUUGAACAGUAAUUGGUAGCUAAUUUGACCUCGAAUAGGAUUGGAAUAUACUUUCUGGUAUAUUUGUAAUAUAUUCACUAUGCAUAGUAUAGGAUUAACUCAUAAACAAUAUGGUGUACCACGUCUUUUAGUUAAUCUAACUACCAAGAUUUAGCCAAUCACAGCGCCAACGUUUUAUCUAAUUUUUUUUUCAGAAAUCUCAUUAUAUAGGCACAUGCUAUGUCAGCUAAUCAAAGUCAUGACCACCACGAUGGAUUUAAACAUAUAUAAUCAA